GAGGGUAUGGCUCAGUGGUAGAGCACUUGCCUACCAUGCAUAAGGGCCUCAGCUUUGUCCUCA
This 63-nucleotide transfer RNA is filed under the name Heterocephalus glaber (naked mole-rat). It matches the Rfam family "tRNA". Rfam says of the family: Transfer RNA (tRNA) molecules are approximately 80 nucleotides in length. Their secondary structure includes four short double-helical elements and three loops (D, anti-codon, and T loops). The record is from Rfam by way of RNAcentral. Lineage: Eukaryota; Metazoa; Chordata; Mammalia; Rodentia; Bathyergidae.